Molecule: long non-coding RNA, 3110 nt
Organism: Mus musculus (house mouse)
Lineage: Eukaryota; Metazoa; Chordata; Mammalia; Rodentia; Muridae
Product: predicted gene, 33738
Exons: 4
Source: RefSeq, a predicted model, not a curated record
GCCAGGGCUGUGUUUCUUCUGCUACUAUGUAGCUACAGUCUCUUGGGAAAACAACUGUCCAAUUUACUGAAGAGGAUGAUACUCUCAGGUCUGAGGCUGAGUCCAUCAAACCUCCUGUAUCUCUGCGGGAAAAUCGGGGAAACUGAGGCAAGGAGAUCUCUCUCUCUCUCUCUCUCUCUCUCUCUCUCUCUCUCUGUGUGUGUGUGUGUGUGUGUGUGUGUGUGUGUGUGUGUGUGUGUGUGUAUUACUUUUGAGUAUCUGUGACCAAACUCUGGGAUGGAAAAACUUUAGGUUGAAAUGAUCUGUUUUGGUCCCUGGAUUGAGAGGGUUCUGUUCACAGUUUCAUUCCCUCAGCUCCUUUGGUUCUGGGCUGGCCCGUGGUGAGACAGAAAGUCACGGUGGAUGUAACACGACAGAAAAUGAAAGCGAUAAUAGGAGACACUCACCCAAUGGCAGGGACAGAUGGCAGAGAAAAGAAUAUGCAAAGGAAGGAAAUGGUGACAUUUCCUGUCACCCAGGCUGAUGGGAAACUCACUAUGUAGCCCAACCUGGCCUUAAACUCAAAAAGCAAUCUCCCUGCCUCAGCCACCCUAGCACCAGAAUCAAGUCCUGAGCUCCCAGGCCCAGCUCACCAAGUCAGUAUUGCUGGAAGGACACUUGCAAAAGGACAGUCAGCAAGGGGAAGGGGGAGGUGUCUGUCGGAAGAGCCAGGAUCUCCUCUGAGAUUAGGAGACACUUGAUGCCCUGUGCCCAUCACAGCCAGGUGAGUCUCCCUCCGCCACUUCCUGCCGCACCGCUCUUAUGUAAACACCCCAGCAACACUGUUUUAAAACGGCUGCGGCGGCGGCGGCGGCGGCGGCGCGUCUGACACUCAAGCUUGAACUUGGAGGUGCAAGGAGCUGAGCAACUGAGUACAAACUCGGAAAAUGUGUGACGCGCGGACGCCGACGACGAUGGCAGGGCUUACAGCCCUGUCAGCAUUUCCCAACUGUGCAAGGAAAUGAGGACUCAGCAACAGAAGCACACCUGCCGCCCCUCAUCGCGGAGAAGACGCAAUAACCUAAGAUGAAGAAACCCAAACUCUGAGAAGGCUGCAACACAGCACCCCUAGAGACACCACCCCUUUUGGUGUCUUGACCAGUCACAGAUGGAGAGUCCCACGGACUGAGACGACAGGGGUCACCUAAGACCAUCAGAAAACACAGGGUUCCAGGUCUAUUCUGUCUGCCACAGACAAAUGGUACCGUUCACACACCGGCCACACUGUCUACGUGCUCGCCUCUAACCGGAAGGGAUCUCAUCUCAUGAUGCUGGACUUCAUCUUCAAAGCAAGGGGGCUUACAGUAAGCCCGAAUGAUUUCUACCCAUCCCUGAGGACUCCUGCCCCACCAAGCCAUCAAAUUGACUUCCCCCAGUUCUCGUAAGAGGAGGUACUCGAACAUCCCUGAGCCAGGCAGGUACCCCAAAUCCCUAUCCCUAUUAGAGCAACGUAGACCACAGGCCAAGUGUCAGCUACCAAGACAAGACACAGCUCUUUCUCCAAAACAGUAAGAGUUUGGUUUUUUUGUGCCAAAUAUGAGUGACCAGAACUCAGGAACACAGAUUCAGGUUGCUUCUGAACCAGUUUUCAAAGGGCUCGCGCUUUCAUGGUCUUUUUAUUGUAAUAGAACACAGAAAGUUAUAUGUUAACACAUUUUUUUUCCUAGCAACAUUGGUGAGAUCAUCAAGCAAGCAGGAUACACACAGCAAAGCAGAGAAAUGUCUUAUGUAGCUCUCAGCAACUGUCUAACAAUGUUCUUAGUCUUUAAGUUGGUAGAAGCUAGGGAAUCUAUGUUAAUAUAGUUCAUAAGCUGUACCUUAUAGAUGCAGGAUGUUAGGGCAGGCAUGGAGGUAAACUGUAAAUGGCUACGAAGGUGGUUAAAGAUAGCCUAAGAUAAUCGUGACCUUGGAUCUGCGCCAUUCCAACUCUCUGUCAGAAGGUCCUGAUCUCGUGUGAGGAGACUUCCGACACAGACGGCUGCUUUUAGGGAGCGUCGGUUCACACACAUAUCCACCCAUGCACAGUUGUAGCCUACACGGUGCAGAUGGAGCAUGAGGCCCUAAGUGAGCCUAUACUAAGAUGGACAGGGAUGGACCAAGAUGGUGGGGAGGGGCAGUCACAUGCAGCCUCUAAGAACCUCCAGUCUGGCACACAGAGGUGAGAGUCUGUUUUCCUUUGCCAGAAAGACAAACGCCAGGGUCCCCAGGGGAAGACCUGAGAGAGAGAAGCUCACAAUGGACAAAUAAGAGUUCUAAGGAAGCCCCAAAGGCUGGACAUCCUCUCCUGCACGUGUGCCUCACGUCCAAGCAGCGUCAUUUUGCAUCAGCAGCUGACCCCCUCCAGGAGCGGGUGCUGACAUCUAAUUGGCACUGAAAACGAUGAUCAUGACAACCACUUGAUGUUGCUGGAGGCUUUUGCCAUUUAUCUGGGAGUCUGGCUCACAUCACAUCUUCUUAAGAGCAGAGGACUCAUUAAUUACUCAUGGAGCACAAGUCAUUAUUGUCCUUAAUUGUCACAUUGAGGUUGCUGUUGGAAGUGUCGUUCUCUGUCAACAUGAAAUAGAUUUUUCCCUUCUGUAAUUUGCUUGGCACCAUUUUCCCUGUUCGUGGGUGGAAGCAUCGGCCAACAUUGCAGGACCCACCUGCCUGAUAAUUUAAGAGUUCAUCUUCCUGUUUGCCUUUGAUGUACCCUGGGAACAUGGCUCCCUAGUUUCCCUGGGAACACAUACCCUCACCUGGAUUCCAGCCUCACACCAUGGAGACGUGGCUCCAUGGCAGACCAAGGAAUUCUUCCUAUGAUCUGAGUGGGAUUGCAGGCUGCCUGUUGGAUAGAUGUCUCCAGAGCAUCCUUACAUUUCCGUCACUUGCUUUGCAGACAUGAGGUCCUGAGUUUGCCCCUAGGAGCCAUGGAAAAAGCUGGGUCUGAUAACGGGUUUAUAAUCACAGCCCUGAGGAGGCAGAGACAGGGGGACCCCCAGGUCCUGGACACCCAGCUGAACUUAACCAGUGAAUUCCAGGCCAGUGAGGGACCAUUUCCAAAAAAAAAAAAGUGAUGCUAGGCAUGGUGGCAA